RNAcentral lists this ribosomal RNA (169 nucleotides) under Fowleria variegata (variegated cardinalfish). RNAcentral describes it as "partial 12S rRNA". The record is from RNAcentral. Lineage: Eukaryota; Metazoa; Chordata; Actinopteri; Kurtiformes; Apogonidae.
CACCGCGGUUAUACGAGUGACCCAAGCUGACAGUCCUCGGCGUAAAGAGUGGUUAACAAAUUUCACAGACUAAAGCCGAACACCUCCAAGGUUGUAUAACACAUUCGAAGACUUGAAGCUCGACCACGAAAGUGGCUUUAAACUCUUUGAACCCACGAAAGCUGGGGAA